GGAAUAUUGCACAAUGGGGGAAACCCUGAUGCAGCCAUGCCGCGUGUGUGAAGAAGGCCUUCGGGUUGUAAAGCACUUUCGGCGAGGAGGAAAGGUUGGCGCCUAAUACGUGUCAACUGUGACGUUACUCGCAGAAGAAGCACCGGCUAACUCCGUGCCAGCAGCCGCGGUAAUACGGAGGGUGCAAGCGUUAAUCGGAAUUACUGGGCGUAAAGCGCACGCAGGCGGUUGGAUAAGUUAGAUGUGAAAGCCCCGGGCUCAACCUGGGAAUUGCAUUUAAAACUGUCCAGCUAGAGUCUUGUAGAGGGGGGUAGAAUUCCAGGUGUAGCGGUGAAAUGCGUAGAGAUCUGGAGGAAUACCGGUGGCGAAGGCGGCCCCCUGGACAAAGACUGACGCUCAGGUGCGAAAGCGUGGGGAGCAAACAGGAUUAGAUACCCCAG
Molecule: ribosomal RNA, 440 nt
Filed under: uncultured Aeromonas sp.
Lineage: Bacteria; Pseudomonadati; Pseudomonadota; Gammaproteobacteria; Aeromonadales; Aeromonadaceae
Description: bacterial SSU rRNA
Rfam family: Bacterial small subunit ribosomal RNA
Source: RNAcentral